Molecule: non-coding RNA, 110 nt
Filed under: Alkalithermobacter paradoxus
Lineage: Bacteria; Bacillati; Bacillota; Clostridia; Peptostreptococcales; Tepidibacteraceae
Description: Clostridium thermoalcaliphilum TPP sequence
Rfam family: TPP riboswitch aptamer (THI element)
About the family: Vitamin B(1) in its active form thiamin pyrophosphate (TPP) is an essential coenzyme that is synthesised by coupling of pyrimidine and thiazole moieties in bacteria. The previously detected thiamin-regulatory element, thi box was extended, resulting in a new, highly conserved RNA secondary structure, the THI element, which is widely distributed in eubacteria and also occurs in some archaea. Analysis of operon structures identified a large number of new candidate thiamin-regulated genes, mostly transporters, in various prokaryotic organisms.
Source: Rfam by way of RNAcentral
GAAUAUUGAAAGGGGAGCUAGACUAAUCUGGCUGAGAGGGAGUUAAGGAACUCCGACCCUAGAACCUGAUCUGGGUAAUGCCAGCGUAGGAAGUAUAGAAAUAGGAAUAA